Long non-coding RNA from Perca fluviatilis (European perch), 286 nucleotides. RefSeq lists it as uncharacterized. The record is from RefSeq and is a predicted model, not a curated record. Lineage: Eukaryota; Metazoa; Chordata; Actinopteri; Perciformes; Percidae. The transcript has 3 exons.
CUCUCUUGUUGGCUGUUUCCUCCUCUCUUGUUGGCUGUUUCCUCUCCUCUUGUUGGCUGUUUCCUCUCCUCUCUUGUUGGCUGUUUCCUCUCCUCUUGUUGGCUGUUUCUGAGAAGUAAAGCGUGGAAAUCUUGUGGAGUCAACACGUUGGAAGAAUCGCUCAUCUGUGGGACGAGACCCUUCUGACUUCAGGACGUCCGUCUGAAUUAGUUCCCCCUGAAGAACAAGAAUGAGUUCUCCACAAAAGAAACCGAGAGGAAGAGGAGAAAAACGUCACCACUGUCAG